RNAcentral lists this transfer RNA (72 nucleotides) under Camelus bactrianus (Bactrian camel). It matches the Rfam family "tRNA". Rfam says of the family: Transfer RNA (tRNA) molecules are approximately 80 nucleotides in length. Their secondary structure includes four short double-helical elements and three loops (D, anti-codon, and T loops). Further hydrogen bonds mediate the characteristic L-shaped molecular structure. tRNAs have two regions of fundamental functional importance: the anti-codon, which is responsible for specific mRNA codon recognition, and the 3' end, to which the tRNAs corresponding amino acid is attached (by aminoacyl-tRNA synthetases). tRNAs cope with the degeneracy of the genetic code in two manners: having more than one tRNA (with a specific anti-codon) for a particular amino acid; and 'wobble' base-pairing, i.e. permitting non-standard base-pairing at the 3rd anti-codon position. RNAcentral also lists the same sequence under 3 other names. The record is from Rfam by way of RNAcentral. Lineage: Eukaryota; Metazoa; Chordata; Mammalia; Artiodactyla; Camelidae.
GAGGGUAUAGCUCAGUGGUAGAGUGCAUGCCUAGCAUGCGCAAGGUCCUGGGUUCAAUCCUCAGUACCUCCA